CGACGAAUUGAUACCAAUAGUAUAACGCGGUGAAGAUUAAAAUGUGCCAAAUAUUGUGGGAGCUUAAGAUGUAGUUGAAUUUGCCUGGAUACAGUCGCUACAAAUGUAUGGAAAUAUAAUAAUUUUAUUAGGGGGAAAUUUGGAAACAUAAAAUCCAAACGCCAAACUAGAGAUGAGAUACAUUGUAAUAAUUCGUGGAAGCAGGUGCUGUGUAAAACAACAAAGAAAAUGAUUAUUAUGAAUGCCUCGUAACCAUGACAACCAUAACUAUGCAUCAAUCAAGAAACUCACCUUGACCUCCUGAUCCAAAUCGUCAUGACUACCAUUGAAUACUAAAAAGUGGACCAAUUUCCCCAAAUACUCGAAAUUGCCGCCACUACCCCUCAUCCACACCCACUGAACGGUCGGAAUGACCCCGUACGCAGCCCACGCCCCGAAUAGAAAUAAUCUCCACUGGAAACCACCCUCACUGUCGGCAGGGAUAAGUUGAGCGGCUAAGGCGAUCAGCAAAAUUGCGAGGACGGUAAAGGUGUAAAAUUUGAGCCAGAACUAGAUACAUAUUAAUUUAUAAUUAAUUAGUAUUUUUAAUUGUAAUUAAUUAAUUAAUUGUAGUUAAUUUUAUCCAUUUACCUGAUCACAUUUAUACGCGAAAUAUAUUCCACUAAGGUAAAUUCCUAGUAGACUUAGCGAUACCCCAAGUAAAUCGGCUCGUAACCUAUGUGAAUAAUUUAAUUUUUAAUUAAGGAUUUAAUUACUAAUUAACUUUAAAUCCAUACCAACGAUGAUAACUUUUGUCACUGCAGCAACAAAACGUAUGAUAACACGACGAUAGCAACAUGCAUGCCUGUAAGUAACCAUGGAAACAAUGUAUUAUUAUUUUUAAAUCAUGGAAACAAUAAUAAAUUGUUGAAUCAUGAAAACGAUAAA
Molecule: long non-coding RNA, 927 nt
Organism: Folsomia candida
Lineage: Eukaryota; Metazoa; Arthropoda; Collembola; Entomobryomorpha; Isotomidae
Exons: 2
Source: RefSeq, a predicted model, not a curated record